UUUUAUUCAACGGCCGCGGUAUUCUGACCGUGCAAAGGUAGCAUAAUCACUUGUCUUUUAAAUAAAGACUAGUAUGAACGGCGUCACGAAAGCCUAACUGUCUCCUUUAUUUAGUCAAUGAAACUGAUCUUCACGUACAAAAGCGUGAAUAUUAAAAUAAGACGAGAAGACCCUAUGGAACUUAAAACACGCAGCCAUUUUAAUCUAACACAACAGCAAUAAUACACCUGGAUUUCGCUGUUUUUGGUUGGGGCGACCACGGAGUAAAAUACAACCUCCGAGAACAUCUACUAAGAUUAACAAAACAACGUACCAAAACUUUAGCCUUUAAGACCCAAUAAACUUGAUCAUCGAACCAAGCUACCCUAGGGAUAACAGCGCAAUCUUCUUUCAGAGCCCUUAUCACCAAGAAGGUUUACGACCUCGAUGUUGGAUCAGGAUGCCCAGACAGUGCAGCCGCCGUCAAAGGUUUGUUUGUUCAACAAUUAAUAAUCCUACGUGAUCUGA
RNAcentral lists this ribosomal RNA (507 nucleotides) under Hypogeophis brevis (Mahe caecilian). RNAcentral describes it as "partial small subunit ribosomal RNA". It matches the Rfam family "Bacterial large subunit ribosomal RNA", at positions 1918 to 2608 of the family's 2925-position model. Lineage: Eukaryota; Metazoa; Chordata; Amphibia; Gymnophiona; Indotyphlidae. The record is from RNAcentral.